CGCUCUUGUUUCUCUUCAUAUCUUACAAAUCUUUUGCAUUUUACUAAAGAUUUCCGUGCAGAGAAACAGCUAGAGAAAUAACUUGGGGAGGCGAUAGUAGCGCAGUGGGUAGAGCAGUCGUCUC
This 124-nucleotide small nuclear RNA is filed under the name Monopterus albus (swamp eel). RNAcentral describes it as "U5 spliceosomal RNA (ENSMALG00000013024.1)". The stretch from base 2 to 84 matches the Rfam family "U5 spliceosomal RNA". Rfam says of the family: U5 RNA is a component of both types of known spliceosome. The precise function of this molecule is unknown, though it is known that the 5' loop is required for splice site selection and p220 binding, and that both the 3' stem-loop and the Sm site are important for Sm protein binding and cap methylation. The record is from RNAcentral. Lineage: Eukaryota; Metazoa; Chordata; Actinopteri; Synbranchiformes; Synbranchidae.